Molecule: ribosomal RNA, 253 nt
Filed under: Anaerostipes hadrus ATCC 29173 = JCM 17467
Lineage: Bacteria; Bacillati; Bacillota; Clostridia; Lachnospirales; Lachnospiraceae
Description: Anaerostipes hadrus DSM 3319 partial 16S ribosomal RNA
Rfam family: Bacterial small subunit ribosomal RNA
Source: RNAcentral
UACGUAGGGGGCAAGCGUUAUCCGGAAUUACUGGGUGUAAAGGGUGCGUAGGUGGUAUGGCAAGUCAGAAGUGAAAACCCAGGGCUUAACUCUGGGACUGCUUUUGAAACUGUCAGACUGGAGUGCAGGAGAGGUAAGCGGAAUUCCUAGUGUAGCGGUGAAAUGCGUAGAUAUUAGGAGGAACAUUAGUGGCGAAGGCGGCUUACUGGACUGAAACUGACACUGAGGCACGAAAGCGUGGGGAGCAAACAGG